CAGCCGCCGCGGUAAGACAGAGGAUGCAAGCGUUAUUCGGAAUGAUUGGGCAUAAAGCGUCUGUAGGUGGCUUUUCAAGUCCGCCGUCAAAUCCCAGGGCUCAACCCUGGACAGGCGGUGGAAACUACCAAGCUGGAGUACGGUAGGGGCAGAGGGAAUUUCCAGUGGAGCGGUGAAAUGCGUUGAGAUCGAAAAGAACACCAACAGCGAAAGCACUCUGCUGGGACGACACUGACACUAAGAGACGAAAGCUAGGGGAGCAAAUGGGAUUAGAUACCCGUGUAGUCCCUGUCUCUUAUAC
This 301-nucleotide ribosomal RNA is filed under the name uncultured bacterium. Its description in RNAcentral is "partial 16S ribosomal RNA". It matches the Rfam family "Bacterial small subunit ribosomal RNA", at positions 509 to 807 of the family's 1533-position model. The record is from RNAcentral.